UAAGUUUAGCGCCUGAACACAAGCUUUUAUUGUGUUGACGAGGUUCAAAGUUAUCGAAUUUUCGGCGGAUGCUUUGAUGGCUUACUUAUAGUCAUUAGUAUUAUACAAAAAAUUGUAGUGAUACAAUAACAAAAGAUAA
This 139-nucleotide non-coding RNA is filed under the name human gut metagenome. RNAcentral's name for it is "glmS glucosamine-6-phosphate activated ribozyme". It matches the Rfam family "glmS glucosamine-6-phosphate activated ribozyme aptamer". Rfam says of the family: This entry contains a glucosamine-6-phosphate activated ribozyme that is found in the mRNA for GlmS. GlmS is an enzyme that uses fructose-6-phosphate and glutamine to generate glucosamine-6-phosphate. The ribozyme catalyses self cleavage of the glmS mRNA that is thought to regulate GlmS activity. The record is from RNAcentral.